RNAcentral lists this unclassified non-coding RNA (247 nucleotides) under uncultured fungus. RNAcentral's name for it is "partial contains 5.8S ribosomal RNA, internal transcribed spacer 2, and large subunit ribosomal RNA". The stretch from base 1 to 52 matches the Rfam family "5.8S ribosomal RNA", at positions 103 to 154 of the family's 154-position model. The record is from RNAcentral. Lineage: Eukaryota; Fungi.
AACGCACAUUGCGCCCUCUGGUAUUCCGGAGGGCAUGCCUGUUCGAGCGUCAUUUAAAGAAGCUCAAGCUCUGCUUGGAAUUUGGGCCUCCGCCCCUCGCGGGGCGGGCCCUAAAUCGGUCGGCGGUGGCCCUGGCCCUCAGGCGUAGUAAAAUAUUCCGCUCUGUGAGGACCCGGGCCGCCCGCUCCUAAAAACCCACGCACCUAAAGUUGACCUCGGAUCAGGUAGGGAUACCCGCUGAACUUAA